Molecule: ribosomal RNA, 336 nt
Filed under: Triticum aestivum (bread wheat)
Lineage: Eukaryota; Viridiplantae; Streptophyta; Magnoliopsida; Poales; Poaceae
Description: partial small subunit ribosomal RNA
Source: RNAcentral
AUGUUAGGAGAGAAUAUUAACUUCCUGUGCUGGAAUGUAAGGGGCCUAAAUUGUGUCAAUCGGCGUUCCACCGUCCAUGAAACCAUUGCAGCAACAACCUGUCAUCUGGCAUGUCUACAGGAGACUAAGCUGGAGCAUAUGGAUCAGUUCAUUGCUUCUUACCUGGGUGGUAACAGACUGCGCAACUUUGCUCACCGACCGGCUACCGGCACCAGGGGUGGCAUACUGCUAUUGUGGGACGACAACGCAGUCCAAAUCUCCGACAUGGUCAACAUCGUUUACUGUCUCUCGGCCAUGGUACUCAUCCGUGCAUCCGGGAAUGUUUUCAAGAUCACC